GGUGACGUGACAGAGUGGCCGAUUGUGCUCGCCUCGAAAGCGAGUGAGGGAAACCUCCGCGGGUUCAAAUCCCGCCGUCACCG
Molecule: transfer RNA, 83 nt
Filed under: Propioniferax innocua
Lineage: Bacteria; Bacillati; Actinomycetota; Actinomycetes; Propionibacteriales; Propionibacteriaceae
Rfam family: tRNA
About the family: Transfer RNA (tRNA) molecules are approximately 80 nucleotides in length. Their secondary structure includes four short double-helical elements and three loops (D, anti-codon, and T loops).
Source: Rfam by way of RNAcentral